GCUGAUGUGGCGGAAUUGGUAGACGCAUUUGACUCAAAAUCAAACAAGUGAAGAACUUAUAUCGGUUCGAGUCCGAUCAUCAGUACCA
RNAcentral lists this transfer RNA (88 nucleotides) under Candidatus Phytoplasma citri. RNAcentral describes it as "tRNA-Leu". It matches the Rfam family "tRNA". Rfam says of the family: Transfer RNA (tRNA) molecules are approximately 80 nucleotides in length. Their secondary structure includes four short double-helical elements and three loops (D, anti-codon, and T loops). Further hydrogen bonds mediate the characteristic L-shaped molecular structure. tRNAs have two regions of fundamental functional importance: the anti-codon, which is responsible for specific mRNA codon recognition, and the 3' end, to which the tRNAs corresponding amino acid is attached (by aminoacyl-tRNA synthetases). tRNAs cope with the degeneracy of the genetic code in two manners: having more than one tRNA (with a specific anti-codon) for a particular amino acid; and 'wobble' base-pairing, i.e. permitting non-standard base-pairing at the 3rd anti-codon position. The record is from RNAcentral. Lineage: Bacteria; Bacillati; Mycoplasmatota; Mollicutes; Acholeplasmatales; Acholeplasmataceae. RNAcentral also lists the same sequence under 2 other names.